Molecule: ribosomal RNA, 253 nt
Filed under: uncultured bacterium
Lineage: Bacteria
Description: partial 16S ribosomal RNA
Rfam family: Bacterial small subunit ribosomal RNA
Source: RNAcentral
UACGUAGGGUGCAAGCGUUAAUCGGAAUUACUGGGCGUAAAGCGUGCGCAGGCGGCUUUGCAAGACAGAUGCGAAAUCCCCGGGCUCAACCUGGGAACUGCAUUUGUGACUGCAAGGCUAGAGUACGGCAGAGGGGGAUGGAAUUCCGCGUGUAGCAGUGAAAUGCGUAGAUAUGCGGAGGAACACCAAUGGCGAAGGCAAUCCCCUGGGCCUGUACUGACGCUCAUGCACGAAAGCGUGGGGAGCAAACAGG